GAUGAAGAACGUAGCGAAAUGCGAUACGUAGUGUGAAUUGCAGAAUUCAGUGAAUCAUCGAAUCUUUGAACGCACAUUGCACCUCUCGGUAUUCCGGGAGGUAUGCCUGUUCGAGAGUCAUUUGUACCCUCAAGCUCUGCUUGGUGUUGGGUGUUUGUUCCGCCUCUGUGUGUGAACUCGCCUCAAAACAAUUGGCAGCCGGCGUACUUGUUUCGGAGCGCAGCACAUUUUGCGAUCCAGAUCAACGUACAGCGGCAUCCAAGAAGCCUUAUUUAACGCUCUUGACCUCGGAUCAGGUAGGGAUACCCGCUGAACUUAAGCAUAUCAAUAAGCGGAGGA
Molecule: unclassified non-coding RNA, 339 nt
Filed under: soil metagenome
Description: partial contains 5.8S ribosomal RNA, internal transcribed spacer 2, and large subunit ribosomal RNA
Rfam family: 5.8S ribosomal RNA (bases 1-120)
Source: RNAcentral